RNAcentral lists this long non-coding RNA (745 nucleotides) under Macaca fascicularis (crab-eating macaque). RNAcentral describes it as "lncRNA (ENSMFAG00000063060.1)". The record is from RNAcentral. Lineage: Eukaryota; Metazoa; Chordata; Mammalia; Primates; Cercopithecidae.
AAAACUAAUUGUUAGCUAUAACUAGUUUUAAUCUAAAACUAGAGAAUCCUUUUUGUUUGUUUGUUUGUUUCUGAGACGGAGUCUCUCUCUGUUGCCAGGCUGGAGUGCAGUGGUGCGAUCUCGGCUCACGACAAUCUCCACCUCCCAGGUUCAAGCGAUUCUCCUGCCUCAGCCUCCCAAGUAACUGGGAUUACAGGCACGUGCCACCACACCCAGUUAAUUUUUUUUUUUUUGUAUUUUUAGUAGAGACGGGGUUUCACCAAGUUGGCUGGGAUGGUGUCGAUCUCCUGACCUCGUGAUCCUCCCUCUUUGGCUUCCCAAGGUGCUGGGAUUACAGGCAUGAGCCACCGUGCCUGGCUGGUAAUCAUAUUUUUUGAGCUCGUUCUGCUUUCUGUUUUCUCUGAAAGAGCCGUGAAUGAUGAGACGACAAAAUAUUGGAUUAUUUGUGCUCUUGAAACAGAUGCCACCUGAGUUGUGACAGGUAUUUUAAGUAUAAUCUUCUGCAUUCACUUAACACUCUCAUUUGAAAAUUUUCAAACCUUGGGCAUAUUCUUGUUCAUUUACCACUGAAAUGAGUCACCUCUUGGGUGUGAAGAGAAAGCUAGGAAUAAAAUGGGGACAAUGAAUGCAGUUGUAAGGGAACAGUAACAAAGAGAAAUCAGAAGUAUCUUGCAAAGUUUGACUGGCUCCAAAUGCAGAUGUAGAACAACAAAGGAGAGUGGGAUAGUUUGAUUUUUUUUUUUCC